ACAAGCCUCACCCUAUGGCCACCACAACCAGAGGCCCACAGAGAGUACUGCCAGACUGGCGCCAAUGUUCCCUUAAGGCCCAAGGGCUCUUCGGUCAGUUUGUGGCAGGAGUCUUGCCCUAUAGUCACCAAAGCUGGGAAUGUGCUGAGUCUCACCUCAACCCGGAGAGUCUCAGAGACUCAUCAAGACUUUCGAUGUAGUACCUGGAUAUCACUGGCGGUUAUCAAGAGAUCAAGGGCUCUUCAGUUAGCAGCUGAUGAAUGCCACAAGGACUGGCUUCUUCCUUUCAAGGCAACAUGUUCCCUUAUGGCCCAGGUUGUGUCUAGAAAUGUCAUCCACCAUCUUGCUCUGACCCCUCCUCAGUGUGACCAUUUUGGAAGGCAGUUUGAUAGUUUCUUACAAAGCUUGUCGUACUCUUACCAUAUGAUCCUGUAAUCAUGCUACUUGUAUUUAUCCAAAUGAGUUGAAAACUUGUAUCCACAAAAAACCUUCGCGAGUGUUUAUAGCAGCAUUAUUCAUAAUUGCCCAAACUUCUAAGCAACUACGAUGUCCUUCCAAUAAGUAAAUUGAUAAAUACACUGUGUUACAUCUGUACAAUGAAAUAUUAUUCAGCACUAAAAGGAAAUGACCUAUCAAGCCACAAAAGACAUGGAGGAACUUUAAACACAUAUUGCCACAUGAAAGAAGUCAAUCUGAAAGGCUGCAUUCUGUAUUAUUCCAACUAAAUGACAUUCUAGAAAAGGCAAAACUACAGUGACAAUAAAAUAAUUCAGUGGUUACCAGGUGUUUGGAGGAAGAGAGAGAGGGAUGAGUAGGUGGAGCACAGAGCAUUUUUAGGGCAGUGAAACUAUUCUGUAUGAUCCUGUAAUAGUGGAUACUUAUUACACAUUCCUCAAAAUCCAUAGAACGUUCAACACAAAGAGUGAGCCUUCAUAUAGACUAUAGACUUUAGUUAACAGUCUAUCAACAUUAGUUUGGGGUGGGGGAAAAGAAAAAAUUAGUAAAUAAAUAAAAUUUAGUAAUAAGUUUACUAAGUAAAUUCUAUUGUAUGGCCUAUAUACAAGAGAAUAUAUUUUUAAUUUUAAUUUUUUACAAAUAGAAUAUUUUGCAGCUAUUAAAAAAGGAUGAUACACUCUGAAAAGACAAAACUAUAAGGACAGAAAACAGGUUAGUUGUUACUUAAGGACUAGGGGAGGGAUUGACUAUGAAGGAGUAGCUUGAGGGAAUUUCUGGGAUGAUGGAACUGUUCUGAAUUGUGAUUGUGGUAGCAAUUAUACCACUGAGUGUGUCAGUAAAAACUCAUAGAAUUGUAGAAUGAAAAAUUAUUUUAUUAUGCAUGAUUUUUUAAAGUAAAUAAAAACAGAUUAGGGAAUUUAAAAAAGUUUUUUAUGUAGAAAAAAGGAAGUAAUAGCAUUCCAAUUGUGAAAGUUCACAGUAGGCAAGGGCAUUCUUUUUAGUUAACAAAUGCUUCACUUAGAAUGAUUACUUAGGAUAGAAGGGUCCUUCAAGAUCAGUAAACACUCCACAUGCACGCUCAUUUUGCAGAGGGAGAAACACGCACAGAAAGAAGGGAGUUUCCCAAGGUUAUAUGCAAAUUAGUGGAUACUUUGUAUAGUUUCAGUCUUUUGAAGUUUACCGAGAAUUAUUUUUUGGCCUAACAUAAAUGUCUUUUCUUGGAGAAUGUGUAUUCUACUGCUGUUGGGUCUUCUGUUCUCUGUAUGUCUGUUAGGUUUUUUUUUUUAACUUUUUUAUUGGAUUUUAGGUUUCGGGGUACAUGAGAAGACCAUGCAAAACAGUUGCGUAGGCACACACAUGGCAGUGUGCUUUGCUUUCCUUUUCCCCUUCACCCACAUUUGGUAUUUUUCCCCAGGCCAUCCCUCCCCACCUCCCCCUCCCACUGGCCCUCCCCUUUCCCCCCUAAUAGACCCCAGUGUUUAGUACUCCCCUUUCUGUGUCCAUGUGUUCUCAUUUUUCAUCACCCGCCUAUGAGUGAGAAUAUGCGGUGUUUCAUUUUCUGUUCUUGUGUCAGUUUGCUGAGGAUGAUGUUCUCCAGAUUCAUCCAUGUCCCUACAAACGACACAAACUCAUCAUUUCUGAUUGCUGCAUAAUAUUCCAUGGUGUAUAUGUGCCAUAUUUUUCCAAUCCAGUCUAUCAUCAAUGGGCAUUUGGGUUGAUUCCAGGUCUUUGCUAUUGUAAACAGUGCUGCAAUGAACAUUCGUGUACAUGUGUCCUUAUAGUAGAACGAUUUAUAGUCUUUUGGAUAUAUACCCAGUAAUGGUAUAUAUACAUCCAGGGUAUUUUAUUCUUUAUGCAGCAAUUGUGAAUGGCAGUUCGUUCUUGAUUUGGCUUUCUUUAAGUCUGUUAUUGGUGUAGACGAAUGCUUGUGAUUUUUGCACAUUGCUGGGUCAAGUGGAAUUUCUAUUUCUAAGGCCUUGAGGAAUCGCCACACUGUCUUCCACAAUGGUUGAACUAAUUUACACUCCCACCAACAGUGUAAAAGUGUUCCUUUUCUCCACAUCCUCUCCAGCAUCUGUUGUCUCCAGAUUUUUAAUGAUUGCCAUUCUAACUGGCGUGAGAUGGUAUCUCAAUGUGGUUUUGAUUUGCAUCUCUCUGAUGACCAGUGACGAUGAGCAUUUUUUCAUAUGAUUGUUGGCCUCAGAUAGGUCUUCUUUCAUUAAGUGUCUGUUCAUAUCCUUUGUCCACUUUUGAAUGGGCUUGUUUGUUCUUUUUUCUGUAAAUCUGUUUGAGUUCUCUGUAAAUCCUGGAUAUCAGCCCUUUGUCAGAUGGGUAAACUGCAAAAUUUUUUUUCCCAUUCUGUUGGUUGCCGAUCCACUCUAGUAACUGUUUCUUUUGCCAUGCAGAAGCUGUGGAGUUUGAUUAGGUCCCAUUUUUCUAUUUUGGCUUUUCUUGCCAAUGCUUUUGGUGUUUUGUUCACGAAGUCCUUGCCUACUCCUAUGUCCUAGAUAGUUUUGUCUAGAUUUCCUUCUAGGGUUUUUAUGGUGCCAGGUCUUAUGUUUAAGUCUUUAAUCCAUCUGGAGUUAACUUUAGUGUGAGGUGUCAGGAAGGGG
This is a long non-coding RNA of Callithrix jacchus (white-tufted-ear marmoset), 3068 nucleotides long. The record is from Ensembl. Lineage: Eukaryota; Metazoa; Chordata; Mammalia; Primates; Cebidae.